Molecule: ribosomal RNA, 333 nt
Filed under: Escherichia coli
Lineage: Bacteria; Pseudomonadati; Pseudomonadota; Gammaproteobacteria; Enterobacterales; Enterobacteriaceae
Description: bacterial LSU rRNA
Rfam family: Bacterial large subunit ribosomal RNA
Source: RNAcentral
UUUAGAACGUCGUGSGACAGUGCGGUCCCUAUCUGCMGUGGGCGCUGGAGAACUGAGGGGGGCUGCUCCUAGUACGAGAGGACCGGAGUGGACGCAUCACUGGUGUUCGGGUUGUCAUGCCAAUGGCACUGCCCGGUAGCUAAAUGCGGAAGAGAUAAGUGCUGAAAGCAUCUAAGCACGAAACUUGCCCCGAGAUGAGUUCUCCCUGACUCCUUGAGAGUCCUGAAGGAACGUUGAAGACGACGACGUUGAUAGGCCGGGUGUGUAAGCGCAGCGAUGCGUUGAGCUAACCGGUACUAAUGAACCGUGAGGCUUAACCUUACAACGCCGAAG